Long non-coding RNA from Lagenorhynchus albirostris (white-beaked dolphin), 1049 nucleotides. RefSeq lists it as uncharacterized. The transcript is spliced from 3 exons. NCBI's taxonomy places the organism in Eukaryota, Metazoa, Chordata, Mammalia, Artiodactyla, Delphinidae. The record is from RefSeq and is a predicted model, not a curated record.
GGGAAGAUAUUUUAUACCUGGAAUGAACAUUUGCCUCAGUAGCCUUUGAGUAAAGCAGAUGACCUGCUGUAACGUGGGUGGGCCUUAUCUAAUCAGGUGAAGAACAUAAGAGAAAAAGGAAUUUGAGGUCCUCCAGAGAAGAAGGAGUUCUGCCUGAGUUUCCAGCUUGCUGCCCUGAUGACACUGGACGUACGACUGAAACAUCAACUCUUACUGAAUUUCCAGGCUGCUGGCCUGCCCUGGGGAUUUUGGACUUGUCAGUCCUAAAAUCAUGUGAGCAAAAGACAAGAAGAUUCGGGCUUCCCGGAAGCGGAAUCACGCAGGUGUUCCUACUUGAGGCGAUUUCUUCCCGGCGGUGAGUGAGAGAUCCAGGUUCCUGGCCAAACUGGUCCUCUGCCAUCAUCAACACCUGCCUCCCAAGGUACCCCUGUUUUCAUUUGUUGGUUGGUUGCUGUUGGUGUUUUUUGUUGCCGUCGCUUCAGUGCCGCACGGCAGGGAGAGAGAAAACACGUACACGCUUACCCAUGGGAGGUUUCCGUGGUGUACAUCCUUCGACUCACAUUCCUUUAGCCAGAACUCAACCACACAGACACAUCAAACGCUGAGACCAGCUGGGAGGCGAUGCCAAGCUGAGAAGAGGGAUGAUUUGGUUUGGGAUCAGUUAGUAGCCUCUGCCCAUGGAUAAAACCGUCCGUUGAUGCGUACGCAAGCAGUGACAAGACUCAUCCCUUGCUGCCGGGACUGUACGUUGGUACAAUCGCUUUGGAAAUCCAUUUAGCGCCAUCUUGAGAAGCUGAAGGUGACUCAGAAGCUCCCCUCAUUGGUAGAAACUCUAGAGAAUGUCUUGCAUGUGUGUCCGUGUAUAAGCACGCUCUCAGGAGUAACGCCUCUCCUACCGCAACCUGCAGGCAACCCACGUGUCUGCUGGCAGGAGAGCCGAUGUAUAGAGUGUGAAGUGAUCGACACUGGAAUAUUGUACAAAAGUGAAGCAAGUUGACUGAAUACAUAGGCAACGUCCUCAUGCAUUUUAGAAAUGCACAGUUGAGAGA